CUGGGGGCUCCCGCUUCUCCGAGCGCUGAAGAGCCGGGCAGGACGGGCGCGCGCGCGGACCGUGCAGACAGGGCGCGCGCCAGACGCGGGCAGCUCGAGGGGUCCCGCGGGGCGGCUAGAGGGCCGCCGGACCGGACGGCUGACGAGCGGGCGCCGCGAUGGCAGAGGGCAGCGCCGUGUCCGACCCGCAGCAUGCCGCGCGUCUGCUGCGAGCGCUCAGCUCUUUCCGCGAGGAGUCCCGCUUCUGCGACGCGCACCUGGUCCUCGACGGGGAGGAGAUCCCCGUACAGAAGAACAUCCUGGCGGCGGCCAGCCCGUACAUCAGGACAAAGUUAAACUAUAAUCCUCCAAAAGAUGAUGGAUCAACCUAUAAGAUUGAACUUGAAGGGAUAUCGGUAAUGGUUAUGAGAGAGAUCCUGGAUUACAUCUUCAGUGGGCAGAUCCGGCUGAACGAAGAUACAAUCCAGGAUGUUGUGCAGGCAGCGGACCUGCUCCUGCUGACGGAUCUGAAAACCCUGUGCUGUGAGUUUCUGGAAGGCUGCAUUGCCGCGGAGAACUGCAUCGGCAUCCGCGACUUUGCCCUCCAUUACUGCCUGCACCAUGUCCAUUACCUGGCCACGGAGUACCUGGAGACUCACUUCCGGGACGUCAGCAACACAGAAGAAUUCCUAGAACUCAGUCCACAGAAGCUUAAAGAAGUGAUCUCUCUCGAGAAGUUAAAUGUUGGCAAUGAAAGAUAUGUGUUCGAAGCAGUAAUCCGAUGGAUAGCACACGACACAGAGCUAAGAAAGGUCCACAUGAAGGACGUGAUGUCAGCCCUGUGGGUGUCAGGGUUAGACUCCAGCUACUUACGGGAACAGAUGCUGAACGAACCGCUGGUACGAGAAAUCGUCAAGGAAUGCAGCAACAUACCGCUGAGCCAGCCGCAGCAGGGGGAGGCCAUGCUGGCCAACUUCAAGCCGCGCGGCUACUCUGAGUGCAUCGUGACCGUUGGCGGAGAAGAAAGAGUUUCACGGAAGCCAACAGCAGCGAUGCGAUGUAUGUGCCCUCUUUAUGACCCCAAUAGGCAGCUGUGGAUUGAACUGGCCCCUUUAAGCAUGCCAAGAAUUAACCACGGAGUUCUCUCAGCAGAGGGAUUCUUGUUUGUAUUUGGGGGCCAAGAUGAAAAUAAGCAGACCCUGAGCUCAGGAGAAAAAUAUGACCCAGAUGCAAAUACAUGGACUGCAUUGCCACCAAUGAAUGAGCCACGGCAUAAUUUUGGAAUUGUGGAGAUAGAUGGAAUGCUGUACAUUUUAGGAGGAGAGGACGGAGAAAAAGAGCUGAUUUCCAUGGAGUGCUACGACAUUUAUUCUAAAACCUGGACAAAGCAACCUGACCUGACCAUGGUUAGAAAGAUUGGCUGCUAUGCAGCUAUGAAAAAGAAAAUCUAUGCCAUGGGCGGAGGAUCAUAUGGGAAACUCUUCGAAUCCGUGGAAUGUUAUGACCCAAGGACCCAGCAGUGGACUGCUAUUUGUCCGCUAAAGGAGAGAAGAUUUGGAGCUGUGGCCUGUGGAGUUGCCAUGGAGCUCUACGUAUUUGGAGGAGUCAGAAGUCGUGAAGACAUCCAGGGGAGUGAGAUGGUCACUUGCAAGUCUGAAUUCUACCAUGAUGAGUUUAAGAGGUGGAUCUACCUUAAUGACCAGAACUUAUGCAUCCCCGCCAGUUCCUCUUUUGUUUAUGGAGCCGUCCCCAUCGGAGCCAGUAUCUACGUUAUCGGAGAUCUCGACACAGGUACCAAUUACGACUACGUGCGUGAGUUUAAAAGAAGCACAGGGACGUGGCACCACACCAAACCGCUCCUCCCAUCCGACCUCCGCCGCACCGGGUGUGCAGCCUUACGUAUUGCAAAUUGCAAGCUCUUCCGCCUGCAGCUCCAGCAAGGCUUAUUCCGUAUCCGUGUUCAUUCACCUUGAGAAGGCAGCAGAGCAGAAGCAGAGCUCCUGACCCAGCGCACCAUAACACAGCUUUCUGUGAGGGGACAGAGGGGGUGGCCUAACUCUGGUGGUUUUCCUGUAACGCUUAGAAGCCCGUGCUUCAGCUCCUCCUGGGGGGAACCCGUAACUCGUGAAAAAGCUACCUUGGAGGAAUCAGUUCCUCCAGUCAGAUGUGUCUGCAGACAGACGGGGUGACUAUCAAGAGGCAAAGGGAAGUGGGAAUCGGGAUCAUGUAAAAUACAUUAACGUACUAAGGUGCAUUCUCCCGGAAGGGAACCCCUAUCCGAGUGACUGCUGUGUCCGAGUACCUGGCUUUGGGGAACAAACGGAAAUCAGUAUAUGCAAAUCAACAUAUCCAAACAUGCCGAGAUUGCUUUUCUACUGCACUUGGAAGGAAAUAUCAUGCCUAACCCUGCCCAACAAAUUAAGGACCUCAGAAUCCAAGUUCUCCAUGAAAACAGCCACAUUCCACGGGGCGGAUAAUUUUACAGUGGGAGAUGUUUCAAGUGGCCUUUAGUUGAGAAAAGCACAGACUAUUUAGCAACACUUGCUUCAUUAAAUCAUCAGUGGCUUUUUCUGCUGAUAGGAUUCUUUUCCUUUUGACCAUGGGUCACACAACUUUUGUUCGGUGCCUCACUCUUGUACCCCUUCAAAUUGUCAGGGACGCAGUGAUACUUGUUUCGUUCUGAAUAGUACCAUUUAUGGACGGGGACAGUCGUACAAAAGGAGCAGCCGCGGCUGCGGUGCUGAGUGCCCGUGGCAGCCCGCCCGCCGUGUGGUAAGGCCUCCGCAGAUCCCGGUGCUCAGCGGGCCAAACAAAAGCACCUCCCCGCCCCCUCCCCCUCCGUGCCCGUCCACUCCCGUCCAUGAGGAGCUGCCCGCAGAAGCACCGUAGGCAGGCUCGGGCAGGCUUCAUUGUGUCGCCGUGUGGUCCCGGUAACAGGGAUCCGUGUGUCCUUCUGUGGAUGAGAUCCAUCCAUAAGUCAUUGUAAACGUGUAGAUUCAUUUGGGUUUUGCCGUGUGAUGGAGCUCUCCUGCUAUGAGCAGACUAUCCAGGGAAUUCCUUAAACCAGGAUUGUAAAUGCCACUGGGCUCUCCAGGCGAGACCCAGCGCUGACGUGCACGGUGGCCUCUGGCCCAGGAGGACAGCCAGCGACGCUCCUUUACGCUGGUCGCCUGUGUGGCACCAGGCGUAGCGAUGUGAGGGUCACCCUUCCGAGAAGUGGGUUUUAGUGCACUUUUGAUUUGCCCUUUUAUCACUAUUAAUACCAUAAGGAAAAUUGCGUAAAUACCCAAUUCAAAAAAGCACCGUAUCAGAACUCAUCUGGUUAAAACACAAACGUUUGUCGAACGAACAUAUUUCUAUUUUCUGACACGACACAGAAUCGUUUGAGUGUAAAUCCCGCAGGUUUUAUUAUCUGGUAAGAGUCCAGUUUGAGCAGUCUGCGUAGACGUGUGUUCAGCGAGGUUGUGUUGCAUGCAGUCGGGUACCCUGCUGAGAAGCCAGAGACUUGCCGUGAAUUACACAGAAGCUACACGAAAGACCUGAUGCGGACAGUUGACAAGAUGUGAGGCACCAGGAGGCUGCAGCCACGAGAAUCGUACCGCUCAAACCGCGUGCGACGGUACAGAAGGGCUGAUGCGAUGUCGCGGGAACGUCGCAGUCUCCGACACCCUGUGGUCCAAAUGCGCUCGUUUGUCCUGUGGGUUUGUUCUGUGGAGUAACUUUCUAUUCCUUUGCUGGUGUGAAAUGUAGCAAAGCUGAAGUAAUUUUGAAUCCGUAACUUGUCUUACAGAGUUGCUUUAUGGUUUACAAGUAACACUGAUGCAGAAAAGGUGUGUCCCCUCGUCGGCACUUGUUGGCCUCCUUCGUGUGCCGCGGGGCGACUGCGGGUGGGAACGUACUGCUGUUCUCUUGUGCCGAGGAUCAGUGAAAGUGUUUUAUCUUUUAUAUGUAGUUUGUAUUGACUGGAUUUUAUAACUGUAAGAAAACAGAAAACAGAGUGUUGUAUUUUGAUCUGAAAUUUGUCUAUGGUAAAGUAAUUUUGUUUUAUGUAUUGGAAGUUCAUUUAAAACUUGAAAUAUUUUCUAGAAGGGUACCGAACAAAAUGAAUUGUCUUUAAGCUGUUUAAUUAACCUAAUAAAACAAUUUGAUGGGGAAGGCA
Molecule: RNA transcript, 4138 nt
Organism: Hyaena hyaena (striped hyena)
Lineage: Eukaryota; Metazoa; Chordata; Mammalia; Carnivora; Hyaenidae
Gene: GAN
Gene name: gigaxonin
Exons: 12
Source: RefSeq, a predicted model, not a curated record